Molecule: transfer RNA, 75 nt
Filed under: Saprospiraceae bacterium
Lineage: Bacteria; Pseudomonadati; Bacteroidota; Saprospiria; Saprospirales; Saprospiraceae
Description: tRNA-Pro
Rfam family: tRNA
About the family: Transfer RNA (tRNA) molecules are approximately 80 nucleotides in length.
Source: RNAcentral
ACGGAAAUAGUUCAAUGGUAGAAGGCAUGCUUUGGGAGCAUGAAGGUGGCAGUUCGAGUCUGUCUUUCCGUACCA